This is a long non-coding RNA of Oncorhynchus tshawytscha (Chinook salmon), 1402 nucleotides long. Lineage: Eukaryota; Metazoa; Chordata; Actinopteri; Salmoniformes; Salmonidae. The record is from Ensembl.
GUAAAAGUUUGCUUAUCAAGUCACACGAUAAGUUGCAUGGACUUACUCUGUGUGCAAUAAGUGCUUAAUAUGAUUUUUGUAUGACUACCUCAUCUCUGUACUCCACACAUACAAUAAAUUAUCUUUGAGGUCCCUCAGUCAAGCAGUGAAUUUCAAACAGAUUCAACCACAAGACCAGGGCGGUUUUCCAAUGCCUCGCAAAGAAGGACACCUAUUGGUAGAUGAGGUUAAAAAAAAGCAGACAAUGAAUAUCCCUUUGAGCAUGGUGAAGUUAUUAAUUUCACUUUGUAUGGUGUAUCAAUACACCCAGUCUAUACAAAGGAAGAACGCCUGUAUCUAACUUAGUUGCUAGAGAGGGAAGAAACUGCUCAGUGAUUUCAACAUGAGGCCAAUGGGGACUUUAAAACAGAGUUUAAUGGCUGUGAUAGGAUGAAUCAACAACAUCCUUGUUAAUUCACAAUACUAUCCAAUUAAAGAGUGAAAAAACGGAUGCCUGUUCAGAAUAAAACAUUUCAAAACAUGCAUCCUAUUUGCAACAAGGCACUAAAGUAAUACUGCAAAAAAAUGUGGCAAAGCAAUUAACUUUUUGUCCUGAAUACAAAGCGUUAUGUUUGUAGCAAAUACAAUACAUUACUGAGUACCACUCCAUAUUUUCAAGCAUAGUGGUGGCUGCAUCAUGUUGAGUAUGCAUGUAAUCGUUAAGGACUAAGGUGUUUUUCAGGAUAAUAAAGAAAUGGAAUAGAGCUAAGCACAGGCUAAAUCCUAGAGGAAAACCUGGUUGUCUGCUUUCCACCAGACACUGGGAGACAAAUUCACAUUGAAGUAGGACAAUAACCUGAAGGCCAAAUCCACACUGGAGUUGCUUACUAAGAUCGUGAAUGUUCCUGAGUAGUUCAAUUAUAGUUUUGACUUAAAUCUACUUGAAAAUCUAUGGCAGACCUGAAAAUGGUUGUCUAGCUAUGAUCAAGAACCAAUUUAACAGAUCUUGAAGAAUUUUGAAAACAAUAAUGGGCAAAUGUUGCACAAUCCAGCUGUGGAAAGCUCUUAGACACUUACCCAGAAAGACUCACAGCUGUAAUCACUGCCAAAGGUGCUUCUACAAAGUAUUGACUCAGGUGUGAAUACUUACUUAAAUUAGCAAAAAUGUCAAAAAAACGUGUUUUCAUUUUGUCAUUCUGAGGUAUUGUGUGUAGAUGGCUGAGUUGUUUUAUUGAAUCCAUUUAGAAUUCAGGAUGUAACAACAAAAUGUGUCAUAAGUCAAGGGGUAUGAAUACUUUCUGAAGGCACUGUAAAAUGUGUAUCUCAACAGGUACUAUUUUGAACUAUUGUACAUUUUUUGUUAUAUUUUUAUAAAAAUGAAAUGUCCACCAUACAUGUCAAAAUAAAUGUGAAAUGUUAGUUU